RNAcentral lists this ribosomal RNA (253 nucleotides) under uncultured bacterium. Its description in RNAcentral is "partial 16S ribosomal RNA". It matches the Rfam family "Bacterial small subunit ribosomal RNA", at positions 524 to 776 of the family's 1533-position model. The record is from RNAcentral.
UACGUAGGGUGCAAGCGUUGUCCGGAAUUAUUGGGCGUAAAGAGCUCGUAGGCGGUUCGUCGCGUCGGCUGUGAAAACCCGGAGCUCAACUCCGGGCCUGCAGUCGAUACGGGCGGACUUGAGUUCGGCAGGGGAGACUGGAAUUCCUGGUGUAGCGGUGAAAUGCGCAGAUAUCAGGAGGAACACCGGUGGCGAAGGCGGGUCUCUGGGCCGAUACUGACGCUGAGGAGCGAAAGCGUGGGGAGCAAACAGG